AUUGAACGCUGGCGGCAUGCUUUACACAUGCAAGUCGAACGGUAACAGGGACUUCGGUCUGCUGACGAGUGGCGAACGGGUGAGUAACAUAUCGGAACGUGCCCAGUAAUGGGGGAUAGCUCGGCGAAAGCCGGAUUAAUACCGCAUACGCCCUGAGGGGGAAAGUGGGGGAUCUUCGGACCUCACGUUAUUGGAGCGGCCGAUAUCAGAUUAGCUAGUUGGUGGGGUAAAGGCCUACCAAGGCGACGAUCUGUAGCUGGUCUGAGAGGAUGAUCAGCCACACUGGGACUGAGACACGGCCCAGACUCCUACGGGAGGCAGCAGUGGGGAAUUUUGGACAAUGGGCGAAAGCCUGAUCCAGCCAUGCCGCGUGAGUGAAGAAGGCCUCGGUUGUAAGACUCUUCUAGUGGAAGAAAGACGGA
This 422-nucleotide ribosomal RNA is filed under the name uncultured bacterium. Its description in RNAcentral is "bacterial SSU rRNA". It matches the Rfam family "Bacterial small subunit ribosomal RNA", at positions 30 to 456 of the family's 1533-position model. The record is from RNAcentral.